UCUUCCGCAAUGGACGAAAGUCUGACGGAGCAACGCCGCGUGAGUGAUGGAGGUUUUCGGAUCGUAAAACUCUGUUGUUAGGGAAGAANAAGUACCGUUCGAAUAGGGCCGUACCUUGACGGUACCUAACCAGAACGCCACGGCUAACUACGUUCCAGCAGCCGCGGUAAUACGUAGGUGGCAAUCGUUGUCCGGAAUUACUGGGCGUAAAGCGCGCGCAGGCGGUUUCUUAAGUCUGAUGUGAAAGCCCCCGGCUCAACCGGGGAGGGUCAAUGGAAACUGGGGAACUUGAGUGCAGAAGAGGAGAGUGGAAUUCCACGUGUAGCGGUGAAAUGCGUAGAGAUGUGGAGGAACACCAGUGGCGAAGGCGACUCUCUGGUCUGUAACUGACGCUGAGGCGCGAAAGCGUGGGGAGCGAACAG
RNAcentral lists this ribosomal RNA (422 nucleotides) under uncultured bacterium. RNAcentral's name for it is "bacterial SSU rRNA". It matches the Rfam family "Bacterial small subunit ribosomal RNA", at positions 362 to 775 of the family's 1533-position model. The record is from RNAcentral.